Molecule: ribosomal RNA, 429 nt
Filed under: Acidobacteriota bacterium
Lineage: Bacteria; Pseudomonadati; Acidobacteriota
Description: Acidobacteria bacterium partial 16S ribosomal RNA
Rfam family: Bacterial small subunit ribosomal RNA
Source: RNAcentral
UGGGGAAUUUUGGACAAUUGGGGAAACCCUGAUCCAGCCAUCCCGCGUGUGCGAUGAAGGCCUUCGGGUUGUAAAGCACUUUUGGCAGGAAAGAAACGUCAUGGGUUAAUACCCCGUGAAACUGACGGUACCUGCAGAAUAAGCACCGGCUAACUACGUGCCAGCAGCCGCGGUAAUACGUAGGGUGCAAGCGUUAAUCGGAAUUACUGGGCGUAAAGCGUGCGCAGGCGGUUCGGAAAGAAAGAUGUGAAAUCCCAGAGCUCAACUUUGGAACUGCAUUUUUAACUACCGGGCUAGAGUGUGCCAGAGGGAGGUGGAAUUCCGCGUGUAGCAGUGAAAUGCGUAGAUAUGCGGAGGAACACCGAUGGCGAAGGCAGCCUCCUGGGAUAACACUGACGCUCAUGCACGAAAGCGUGGGGAGCAAACAGG